AAAGAAAUAGUCCUAAUAAAUUAACAAGCUCAUGUAUCAUCAUUUUGAAGUGUUGAGGGAAGGUUAUUGGAUCUCCAAACCAGCCCAAACGAAAGAGCAAUUUGGACUGUUUUUUAUCAGGGAGACGCCAGUUAUGGGCUUGUUCCUAAGCCCAACAGGACACGAGUCCAUGUCAUUUAAAUUCCAGACCAACCUUUCAGGCAGCAUAUGUGUAAUAAUUCGAACUGCAACACCUAAAGCAAAUUGGUAAACGAUAUUAAAUGACCAGACUGACCACAUUAGCCGAGACUUUAUUUUAAAACAGUUGCAAUAAUUAAUCUAACUAUAUUCUCUAAAACAAAGAGGCCACGGCAAUUCAUGAUCCAAAUAUAAACUAACAUAGGGAGUUUGAGCCAUUCAAUUAAGCCAUAUUCAAAUUAUCUUUCGCAGUUUCAAUUCAGUUACGACGCAGCCAGAUUGUACAACGAUACAACUGAUAGUUUUAAUUCUGAUUUCAAUCUAAUUCAUGAUAACGUAAACGUCCAACUCCAAUCGGUCUAACAAUCCCUAACAUUCAGUAAUUAGGAUCUGAAAAGUUAACUACAACAUGAAACUAGCACUGUUAACUGACGCAGUCAAGGCAUUUACAUUAUCCAGGCCUGCUUAAACUCAAAAUACUCUAUAGCCUACUUGAAAACAACUACACCUAUUUUACAAAUGAAACUCAAUUGAAGCUAUAGUGACAGUCCAUUAAGUUCAAAUUAAUACAUUCACAAAAUUGUUUAAAUAGUUCAACUAAAUUAAAAUUCUAAGCUAGAAAACAAAUAAAUAGUUCUUCAUCAUUCAACUUCAAGCGUAUUCAUACAUGCUGAUUCAUUCUCCAAUAUCUCUUGAGUCUAAUGACAUACCUGGAAGUUGAAAUACAAGUAAGAAGAAGAAGAGAUUGGCCAAAGACUGAGCAAAUAGCAGUGUCAACAACAGGUCACAGCAACAGGAAGACAAUUUGAAAUCCAGAAUGAUAUCACUAAACACAGGAACAAUAGCAGAUGAAUAGUAUCAAUAAGAACACCCAGAAUUGCCUUGACUGAACCAAAACACACUCAAAACUGACAUAGGAGGCUUCUGAACACUUCAGCAAUCAAAACUUAAGUUAGAUGAUGCAAAUCAACUACUAAAACUAGAAAUUAGCUAAAACUUUUGAUAUAAUAGUAUGUUUUUUUUGAUGUUUUGCUAUAUUUGGUUGUUUUUUUUUUGGCAGGAUCUAAAAGAGGAUUUUGAACUUCUUUAUUUGAAACUCAAAUUCUAUGCUCAGAUUUACAGACAUGGUUUUUGGGGGAAAUUUUAGGGCUCCAAACUUUUUAUCAAAGCACUAGUCAUGCCUUUUUAUAGGCAAAAUCAGGGCAGCCCAAAAAUUUUGAGUUUUACACUCUUAGUCCUUAUUUAUUAUUCAAUUUUAACCAAAUGGUUCCCUAUUUACUAACUUGUCUCACAAGCUUAACCACUCAAAAGCUUGAAAUUGCCGGAAAUCCCUGCUAGAAGCUUCUUUUUUCGGUUGUGAAAAGAUUCUCCAGCUUGAACUAUCCAAAACACCCUUAUAGCUAUUAUUAUUUACCCUACAGCCCCAGACAAAUUGUUCAAGCUGAUUGAGUCAUAGCCCGGAAUUGAAUCCCUUAAAUGGGCCUUUUAUAUCUCUUGGGUCAGAACUGAACCCUUCCCCACAGCCCCAAAUGAAAUAAACCCAUCUACACAUGACAAAACAGGAGAAUGAAUCUUAUUAACCCAAAACCAAAAUCCUAACCAAAUUACUAGUUAAUAGGAAACUAACCAUUGAACUGGGAACUCACUAAAGUAUUAAUUCAACACAAUUCAUUAGGCUAUCUAGAAAACAUACAGAAUCACACACUUAGAAAAAAAAAAUCAAAUAACAACAUUUACCAAAGCAACACUGAAAGUCACAAAAGAAAUAUAAAUGCAAAGCUAAACCUAAAGGGAAACCCUAGGAAAUAUUAUUGGCCACCUAACACAAACAUGCAGGAAACUAAUUCAAACGUUAAAGCGACGAAAUUAGACUAAGUGAUCAAACAAAAAGUGAAACAAGUUUAAUCCAAAAGAAGUUCAGAGAAAGGAAAAGGAGACAGAGCUAAGGAGGAAUAAUGAAAAAACCAAAUAUGAACAAACAGAUAAAGAAAACAUACUAGUCUAAGAGUUUGACUCCAAAAACUCCAAAGAAGCGGAACAAAAUCCUAGCACACUCGAGUUUAGUCGUUUCAGAUUCAAAAUGUGAGGAAUUAAAAUGGCGUUACAGGGAUAAGGGCAGCGGGAUCAAGAUGAGGAAAGGACGACGACCCUAGAGUGUUAAUUUUGGGCUGAUUGGAUGAAUUAGGGUUUUAACUAUCCCGGGCAGAGAAUGAUUCGACGAGUUUCGAAAGGAUUUGGGGUAAGGGGUUUCAAAAUUUUGGAUGUAGGGGUGGAGGAGAUAUCAUGGUGUAAAUUUGGGGCUGAAUUGUGGUGUCGCCGCCACCAGAGCCGGUGGGGAAUUGGGACGGCUAAACUAGGGUUCCUCUAUGUGUUCUCUGUACUAGCAAUAAAGAGAUACGUGAGAU
Molecule: long non-coding RNA, 2582 nt
Filed under: Nicotiana benthamiana
Lineage: Eukaryota; Viridiplantae; Streptophyta; Magnoliopsida; Solanales; Solanaceae
Description: long non-coding RNA (NBEN_LNC029299)
Source: RNAcentral